ACUCGUAUACGUUUAAGUGUGAUUGCGCCUAUUGCAGAAGGAAUGUUAAACGAGAAGCUCAGACAAUACUGAAGCUGUGUUAAAGACCUAUUAGUUGAACAUGUUAUGGUAGGUACAUAUAUGAGGA
This 127-nucleotide transfer RNA is filed under the name Saccharomyces cerevisiae YJM1592. Its description in RNAcentral is "tRNA-Arg". The record is from RNAcentral. Lineage: Eukaryota; Fungi; Ascomycota; Saccharomycetes; Saccharomycetales; Saccharomycetaceae.